RNAcentral lists this ribosomal RNA (263 nucleotides) under uncultured Staphylococcus sp. Its description in RNAcentral is "partial 16S ribosomal RNA". It matches the Rfam family "Bacterial small subunit ribosomal RNA", at positions 99 to 355 of the family's 1533-position model. Lineage: Bacteria; Bacillati; Bacillota; Bacilli; Caryophanales; Staphylococcaceae. The record is from RNAcentral.
CGGACGGGUGAGUAACACGUGGAUAACCUACCUAUAAGACUGGGAUAACUUCGGGAAACCGGAGCUAAUACCGGAUAAUAUUUUGAACCGCAUGGUUCAAAAGUGAAAGACGGUCUUGCUGUCACUUAUAGAUGGAUCCGCGCUGCAUUAGCUAGUUGGUAAGGUAACGGCUUACCAAGGCAACGAUGCAUAGCCGACCUGAGAGGGUGAUCGGCCACACUGGAACUGAGACACGGUCCAGACUCCUACGGGAGGCAACAGUC